UGGGGAAUUUUGCACAAUGGGGGAAACCCUGAUGCAGCGACGCCGCGCGAUUUAGAAGGCCUUCGGGUUGUAAAAAUCUUUUCUAUGGGAAGAAAAUGACAGUACCAUAGGAAUAAGGACCGGCUAAUUACGUGCCAGCAGCCGCGGUAAUACGUAAGGUCCGAGCGUUGUCCGGAAUCAUUGGGCGUAAAGGGUACGUAGGCGGGUAAGCAAGUUAGAAGUGAAAUCCUAUAGCUCAACUAUAGUAAGCUUUUAAAACUGCUCAUCUUGAGGUAUGGAAGGGAAAGUGGAAUUCCUAGUGUAGCGGUGAAAUGCGCAGAUAUUAGGAGGAAUACCGGUGGCGAAGGCGACUUUCUGGCCAUAACCUGACGCUGAGGUACGAAAGCGUGGGUAGCAAACAGG
This 402-nucleotide ribosomal RNA is filed under the name bacterium. RNAcentral describes it as "partial 16S ribosomal RNA". It matches the Rfam family "Bacterial small subunit ribosomal RNA", at positions 355 to 776 of the family's 1533-position model. The record is from RNAcentral.